UUUAUCAAAUCAUAUUACACACAUAAUCAUGGCUUUGAAAUCACCCCUAGCUAAGAGGGGUUUAGCCACUCAUGUUCACAACAAAACGAAAGAAAAUGAAUUUAAACAUUGGAAACAAAAGAAAGAAAACACCUAAACACUCCAACGAUCCAAGUUGGACAGCAAGCAGGUCCAAGCACUUUCCUUCCCUUCCUUUGCUAUGGCACAAGGUGUUAGUGAGUGUUUGAAGGUUUGUUUGUAUGGAGGAAUUGAUGUAAAGAUGAAUGGAUGUGUUUGA
RNAcentral lists this long non-coding RNA (277 nucleotides) under Malus domestica (apple). Its description in RNAcentral is "long non-coding RNA (MDOM_LNC013162)". Lineage: Eukaryota; Viridiplantae; Streptophyta; Magnoliopsida; Rosales; Rosaceae. The record is from RNAcentral.